RNAcentral lists this long non-coding RNA (2070 nucleotides) under Ananas comosus (pineapple). Its description in RNAcentral is "long non-coding RNA (ACOM_LNC022617)". The record is from RNAcentral. Lineage: Eukaryota; Viridiplantae; Streptophyta; Magnoliopsida; Poales; Bromeliaceae.
UAUCAACUAUUUUAUUAUAGAUAUUAUAACUAGAAGAAAAAGAUAGAACACGUUACGCAAAUUAUAUAAAUAAAAAUAGUUUUUCUCAAACCCCACUUAUAAAAAUAAAUAAAUAAAUAAAUAUAUAUAUAUAUAUAUAUAUAUAUAAAAUUGAGCUUCUAUGUUUUUAAAAGUACCAAGUCAUUGGUGCUUGUAAGUUUUCGGCCCUUGGAUUAAAGGAUGUGCGGUUAGGAUGAUAUGGGUCCCCUAAGGUUGAGUGGGUGGUUGGUUGAAUAGUAUAAUCUAACGGGUAAAAAUGAUCAAAGGUAGAGAUCUAACGGUACAAAAUUUACAAGCACCAAGUGCUUAGUACUUUUACAAGUAUCGUAGCCGGACUCUAUAUAUAUAUAUAUAUAUAUAUAUAUAUAUAUAUAUAUAUUCUUUUAUUUUUACUUUUUAUUUUAUAGCUCUCAAUACUAUACAUAUCCUCUUAAAUAAAAAAGAACAAAAAAUAUCUUAACAUCUCUCUUAAGAAAAAAGGGUUAAUUUCAUACAGGUCCCCGCAAAUAUAGUAAAUUACAAAUAUAUUCUUGCAAAGUUCAACUUUCAUAAGUUAUUUCUACAAAAGUUCUAAUGCAUUCAGAUAUGUCUCUAUGGUUAUGAUCCGUUAGAGAAUUGUUUAUUUUUUAACAGUCGGCUCGUGAAAUGACAUUUUUGCUCUCACAAGUAUGUCCCUCCAAAAGCCCUCUCAAUUUUUGCCCUUUUCCUCUUUCGCUUUCUUCUCGGGCUACGGGAGCGGGCAGCGACGAACGACUCCGGCAACGUCGCGGAGCUUGUCGGAGUUAUGGCCGACGAGGACAAGAUUAAGGCCUGCAACGGCGAGGCGGAAGGCGAAGGUGCGACCGAUUCGGAAGCACUCGUGACGACGGCCCUCGCAAGCACGACGAUUGGAUCUUCGACGACGACAAAGAAGAAGGAGGAGAAAAGGAGGAGGAAAAGGAGGAUAUGAAGAAGAAGCAAAAGAGGAAGAAGGAGAAGAAGAACGGUAAAAUUGCCAAUUCACCUUAUUAAUUAACUAUGAUUAAGUAUUUUAACCGUGGUUAAUUAAAUUUUUUAACUGAAUCUAACGGCAGGGGCAUAUUUGAAUACAUUAGGACUUUUAUAGGAAUAAUUUAUGAAAAUUAAAUUUUGUAAGAAUAUAUGUGUAAUUCACCAUGUUUACACCUGUAUGCAAUUAAUCCAAAAACAAACAAAAAAUAUCUUAACUUUUUCCCACCGACUUGCAAAGAUACUAAGUUACAACAUAAUUAUAUAAAAAAAAUUUCUUGUGAGAUGAAUAAUAUAAAAUAUUUAAUUGGGGCCAGGGUUGGUUACCAUGUCUUAUUCAAAAAGCCCUAAUAAAUUAUUUCAAUAAUAAUCACCCUCUCAAAAUGAGCUCUUAAUCCUAUACAUCAAACACCAACACUAUCCACAAAUAUGUUGCCACGUGUUCAAUAGUUGCAUUUAACAUCUUAAAUUGUUCACAAAUCCAUCAAAAAAUUGUUUCACAAAAUCCCCCAGUACACAAUCUCCCACUUUCUCCUCCUUUUGGUCUCUCUAUCUCUCUCUCUCUCUCUCUCUCUCUCUCUUUCUCUCUCUCUCUCUAUAUAUAUCUUUCUCUCUCUCUCUGCUGCAACACUCAGAUUAUUUCAUGGACCCAGUGUAUUCAUAUAUGUUAUUAUAUACCUUAAGACUAAUUCUAAACUAUUUCCUACAAAAUUAAUUUUUAGAUAACAUGAUAUCAGAAUUAAUUCUUAAGUCUCCUUUCGUUUAAGACGUCAUAAGUUUAGUUCUACAUCCAUCGUUUUAUGGCUAUUACAAUUGGACUGUUUUUUUCAUUAUCUUUUUCAAUCAGUACGCGUGAUUCGGUUUAUUUAAUUUGGAUCAAUUUUUUUGAUAAUAUUACUGCUUCAUUAUUUACUUUAGUUUUUUGAUCGAUACACGUGACAUUAUCUUAUUAUCUCUUCAGUUAUCUCUUUCAUCAGUGUAAUUCAUAUAGUUCACAUUAUAUGUACGAUGUACAAUUGGGAGUAUUAAGACUAAUUCAAAAUA